RNAcentral lists this ribosomal RNA (252 nucleotides) under uncultured bacterium. Its description in RNAcentral is "partial 16S ribosomal RNA". It matches the Rfam family "Bacterial small subunit ribosomal RNA", at positions 524 to 776 of the family's 1533-position model. The record is from RNAcentral.
UACAGAGGUCCCAAGCGUUGUUCGGAAUUACUGGGCGUAAAGGGCGCGUAGGCGGCCUGCUAAGUCGAACGUGAAAUCCCCGGGCUUAACCCGGGAACUGCGUCCGAUACUGGCUGGCUUGAAUCCGGGAGAGGGAUGCGGAAUUCCAGGUGUAGCGGUGAAAUGCGUAGAUAUCUGGAGGAACACCGGUGGCGAAGGCGGCAUCCUGGACCGGUAUUACGCUGAUGCGCGAAAGCCAGGGGAGCAAACGGG